UGUAAAACUUGGGAACCUUUCAGCGUUAAGUCUGAGGACCCCUAGCAUAUCUAUUCCUCUAGAAUAGGGGUCUGAUCAUAAGUUCCUCCCCCUCCGACCCUUAUACCUUGAUCUCCAUCAACUCCAUUGAGCCUCCCCACCCUCCUGUAACUUGCCGCAAGUUUCUGGGCUCAAACUUGCAAGUGUUGCUGUUGAAAUAACCGUCUAUGCUAACCCAUGCAUUGCAUUCGUGUAGAGCUGUGUCUCACCGACGGCUACUACGAGCUGCACCCGGCGCAAGAAGAUGACGGUGUAGCUGAGCUCCUGCUUCCAGAAGCCGAAGCUGCCCAAGAAGACGAGCAGUUCCCUUCCUCCUUGAUCGAAGGCAAGCCCCGGAUGCAUAAAUUUCCCCUAUGUUUUACCAGACUUGCGCAUGCCUUCUUUAACAUGCUUGUGCAUUUACGUAUAGGAGUUGUUUGAAACCAUAGCUGCAUAACUUAGCUCCCUUGAUCUGAACACUAGCUGUUGGACCGAGUAGAUGCUUUGCUUAAAUAGGAAACGGUAAAAGCCGAGUGAUUCCCUGUCACUCGCGAGUUGUAAGAGUUGGAUGUUUACUCUUCUGUCACAACUAUAAGGACGAUGGACGGGGCAGGGUUUUGGGUAACUCUUUGGUGGUCGGUUGGUCGCCCCGUCUGUCUAUGAAACUUGCUAAGGCCCGACAAUGGUGGUGUUCGUGAUCAAGUGUUUGAAAGUACUAAUCUCAUACCUAGUAUGGGAUGGGGAAGCCUAGUACCUGAUUGAAGUAGGGCGUGGCUUAUACCCCUGCUGUCCCUGGAACGAGGUUCCCAUGGUGCAUCAUGUGGGUGCAAGUGCGGUCACAGUACGGCAGAGGCCGGGACUGUGGAGCAUUGCAUGCCAAGGGAAGUUUGGACCUGACACGCGCCUGGGAAUUGAUGGGGACGGCCGACACAGGAAGCGACCCUCGUGGUGCGCGGAUGUCGUGAGAUUAGGUGCGCCAUGCGGGGUUAAGAAACUCGAAUCGAUUCGUCUGCCUCUCACAGUUUGAGACUACUUGAUCGCUAUGUCACCCUGAGUAAUUAAGGAAUCUGAUGAUGACAUGGUCGUGUUGAUGAUGUAUAUACCUUUGGUUGGUUCUAUGCUUGCUUAGAAUAGGUUGCAAACUUAGACUGGAUAAUGAACUUAGAACCGGAGCUAAAACUUGAAAGUAGGGAUACACUUAGCACUUUUGGCAAACAAACCCCUCAGCUAAAAAGCCUCGCAUGUCUAGAAGAGGUAGUUUAGCGCGUUCCCUGUCGGUUAAGUCUUGUUGAGCUUAGUAGCUCAGCCUUGUUGUGGCUCUUCUUUUCAGGUGAAGUUGCUACCUCUGAGCCUCCUUCUGCUGGUACUUGGCCGCCCCAACUCCCUCCGGGUUGGACAGUUGAGUGGGAUCCCUCCUCGGACGGCGAGGAGAGGGAUCAGUGAUGUCCCGGUUGGCCUCACCAGGGAUGUCCGACCCCAACGAGUUCACUUCCGCUAGUUGCUUUACCUUUUGUUGUUGUUUUUUUGCUGAACCUUGUAAAACUUUGAUGUUGUUUUUAUGGCCAAACUAAAUGGUUAAUCUGUUAACUCAGUGGACUUGUUAUAUUCUUUGGAACCGCUCACCUUCGUGUGGGUUUGCUA
This 1659-nucleotide long non-coding RNA is filed under the name Setaria italica (foxtail millet). RNAcentral describes it as "long non-coding RNA (SITA_LNC005818)". The record is from RNAcentral. Lineage: Eukaryota; Viridiplantae; Streptophyta; Magnoliopsida; Poales; Poaceae.